This 450-nucleotide ribosomal RNA is filed under the name uncultured bacterium. Its description in RNAcentral is "bacterial SSU rRNA". It matches the Rfam family "Bacterial small subunit ribosomal RNA", at positions 330 to 795 of the family's 1533-position model. The record is from RNAcentral.
ACCAGACUCCUACGGGAGGCAGCAGUGGGGGAUAUUGGACAAUGGGGGAAACCCUGAUCCAGCGACGCCGCGUGAGUGAAGAAGUAUUUCGGUAUGUAAAGCUCUGUCAGCAGGGAAGAAAGAAAUGACGGUACCUGACCAAGAAGCCCCGGCUAACUACGUGCCAGCAGCCGCGGUAUACGUAGGGGGCAAGCGUUAUCCGGAAUUACUGGGUGUAAAGGGAGCGUAGACGGCAGCGCAAGUCUGGAGUGAAAUGCCGGGGCCCAACCCCGGAACUGCUUUGGAAACUGUGCAGCUCGAGGGCAGGAGAGGUAAGCGGAAUUCCUAGUGUAGCGGUGAAAUGCGUAGAUAUUAGGAGGAACACCAGUGGCGAAGGCGGCUUACUGGACUGUAACUGACGUUGAGGCUCGAAAGCGUGGGGAGCAAACAGGAGUAGAUACCCGUGUAGUG